RNAcentral lists this small RNA (465 nucleotides) under Pan troglodytes (chimpanzee). Its description in RNAcentral is "retained intron". The record is from RNAcentral. Lineage: Eukaryota; Metazoa; Chordata; Mammalia; Primates; Hominidae.
UGCCAGGCUUCCAGUGAGAGGAACUUCCACAUCUUCUAUCAGAUUUGCAAAGGAGCCAGUGAGGACGAGAGGCUCCAGUGGCACCUUCCUGAGGGAGCUGCCUUCUCCUGGCUGCCCAACCCAGAGAGGAGCUUAGAAGAGGAUUGUUUUGAGGUGACCAGAGAGGCCAUGCUCCAUUUGGGCAUUGACACCCCUACCCAGAACAACAUCUUUAAGGUCCUAGCUGGACUGCUGUACCUUGGCAAUAUCCAGUUUGCUGCCUCCGAGGAUGAAGCCCAGCCCUGCCAGCCGAUGGAUGAUGCCAAGUGUGAGGGUCAGGGUGUAGGAUAGGGCAGGCCCUGUCAGGAAGGUAGCCAGCAUUGCUGGGGUUGGGUGGAAGGCUGGAUGGUGAAAAUUGGAAUCUGAUGCCCUUGCUUAUGCUACCCACCAUAGGGCCUGGCCCUGGAUCAUUUACUCCUCACCCUG